AAUGCCGCGUGUGUGAAGAAGGCCUGCGGGUUGUAAAGCACUUUCAGUGGGGAAGAAAGCCUGGGGUUAAUACCCUCGGGUCUUGACGUUACCCACAGAAGAAGCACCGGCUAACUCCGUGCCAGCACCGGCGGUGACUGAGCGGGCUGGCAAGGCGCAUA
RNAcentral lists this ribosomal RNA (161 nucleotides) under uncultured bacterium. Its description in RNAcentral is "partial 16S ribosomal RNA". It matches the Rfam family "Bacterial small subunit ribosomal RNA", at positions 393 to 539 of the family's 1533-position model. The record is from RNAcentral.